CCUACGGGAGGCAGCAGUGGGGAAUAUUGCACAAUGGGGGAAACCCUGAUGCAGCGAUGCCGCGUGAGUGAAGAAGUCUUUCGGUAUGGAAAGCUCUAUCAGCAGGGGAGAAAAUAACGGUACCUGAAUAAGAAGCCCCGGCUAACUACGUGCCAGCAGCCGCGGUACUACGUAGGGGGCAACCGUUAUCCGGAUUUACUGGGUGUAAAGGGGGCGUAGACGGCUGGACAAGUCAGGAGUGAAAUGCCGGGGCUUAACCCCGGAACUGCUUUGAAAACUGUGGAGCUAGAGAGCAGGUGCGGUAAGUGGAAUUUCUGGUGUAGCGGUGAAAUGCGUAGAUAUCA
Molecule: ribosomal RNA, 344 nt
Filed under: uncultured bacterium
Lineage: Bacteria
Description: partial 16S ribosomal RNA
Rfam family: Bacterial small subunit ribosomal RNA
Source: RNAcentral